Drosophila novamexicana is the source of this 766-nucleotide long non-coding RNA. RefSeq lists it as uncharacterized. The transcript is spliced from 3 exons. The record is from RefSeq and is a predicted model, not a curated record. NCBI's taxonomy places the organism in Eukaryota, Metazoa, Arthropoda, Insecta, Diptera, Drosophilidae.
UCCCGACUUUCGAUUGCCAUCGAAAAUUAUACAUUUUUCGAUGGUUUCUGAAUAUCUCGGGUAGAGUCGAGCGACGAGUCCUGUACGGACCGGGACUGUUAUCUGCCCAAAGGACAUUCAAAGCGUCCUUAUGGUUGCCGAGAUAUGGCUUUUUUUCAUUUUAAAGGACCUGAAAUUGGACAUCAUAAGGACCAAGGACACGUUCUUGCCCGGCCAACUUAGAAUAUGUGAUAAAAAGGACGAAAAUUCUUCAAGGAGCUGAGUGAAGGAGACUUUUGUCGCUACAGAUAAAAGCGUGUAGAUCGGCCAUAUCCUUGCCGAUCAUGAUGUCCUUUGGCCAACCAUCCUGACGAAUCCUGUGUCAAACGAAUCGUAUGGACAAGGACCUCAAACUGUCCAAAGGACAUCAAAAUCGUCUUUGCCGUUUCAGAGAUAUGGCCAAUUUUCUAAAAAGGACAUUUUUCAAUUAGCCAUAACUCGGCCAAAUCCUUAAGGAUAUCGGAAGGAUAUACCUUGUUGAACUCGUGGAGACCAGGACUAUCGAUUGGCAUUCAAGGAUUUCCAAGAUUCGACAAAAAAUUUCACCAAAAUUUUUCAUAGGGGACUGACAAAUCAAGGACUACAAUGAGCUCUAAGGACCUCCACGACUGAUAAAGCCAAUAUUUCCAGGAUUCGACUAUAAUUAAGCCAGAUAUACCUAUUUUAAGUUUAAAUAAGCUCAAAUUAUAGUUUAUUUAUUAUUUGUAUAAUUUUAAGAAAAGUAAUU